This 253-nucleotide ribosomal RNA is filed under the name uncultured bacterium. RNAcentral's name for it is "partial 16S ribosomal RNA". It matches the Rfam family "Bacterial small subunit ribosomal RNA", at positions 524 to 776 of the family's 1533-position model. The record is from RNAcentral.
UACGAAGGGGGCUAGCGUUGUUCGGAAUUACUGGGCGUAAAGCGCACGUAGGCGGCUUUGUAAGUUAGAGGUGAAAGCCUGAUGCUCAACAUCAGAAUUGCCUUUAAGACUGCAUCGCUUGAACGUCGGAGAGGUAAGUGGAAUUCCGAGUGUAGAGGUGAAAUUCGUAGAUAUUCGGAAGAACACCAGUGGCGAAGGCGGCUUACUGGACGACUGUUGACGCUGAGGUGCGAAAGCGUGGGGAGCAAACAGG